RNAcentral lists this ribosomal RNA (235 nucleotides) under uncultured bacterium. RNAcentral describes it as "partial 16S ribosomal RNA". The record is from RNAcentral.
CUGCUGCCUUCCGUAGGAGUCUGGGCCGUGUCUCAGUCCCAAUGUGGCCGGCCAACCUCUCAGUCCGGCUACUGAUCGUCGCCUUGGUGGGCCGUUGCCCCACCAACUAGCUAAUCAGACGCGAGUCCAUCUCAGAGCGAUAAAUCUUUGAUAUCCAGAGCCAUGCGACCCAGAUAUAUUAUGCGGUAUUAGCAGCUGUUUCCAGCUGUUAUUCCCCACUCCAAGGCAGGUUACU